This is a small nucleolar RNA of Rattus norvegicus (Norway rat), 127 nucleotides long. Ensembl annotates it as small nucleolar RNA SNORA15. Lineage: Eukaryota; Metazoa; Chordata; Mammalia; Rodentia; Muridae. The record is from Ensembl.
GCCUGAAUACUGUGUUUUUUAGUCAGUAAUUUACACAGCCAGACACCAUGCAAAAGUAAAGGCUUCCUUUAAGAUGGCUGAUCACGCUAUAUUUUAUGGUAUAUCAUUAUUAAAAGUGAAUAUAAAG